This 8786-nucleotide long non-coding RNA is filed under the name Zea mays. Its description in RNAcentral is "long non-coding RNA (ZMAY_LNC003317)". Lineage: Eukaryota; Viridiplantae; Streptophyta; Magnoliopsida; Poales; Poaceae. The record is from RNAcentral.
GUCUUAACCUUUAUUCAUCAAAGUAAAGCGAAACAUGGACAUCCAUCCAGAGGAAGAUGACCGGGGGUAUCACUAGACUAGCAUCCAUCAAGUUCACCAUCAUAAUCUUCAUCUGCAAACUUCUGAUCAAAAUUAAACAAGUGUUAGCUCACUUAUGGUUGGGGCUCAGCAAGUGGGGUGAAAAUGCAAGGUAACAAGGUAAGGCUAAAGUUUAAUGCGAUUGGCAUUUUAGUUGGUCAACAUUUUAUUAUCAACACCUGAUUACUAGGUAUAAGUAUAUACCAAACCCAAUUAAGCAUAAUUCAUAAUCAUCAUAAGCUCAAACCACUUGAUCCAAAAAGGACCACAAUUUAUUUUCAUCUUCAAGUUUGAUUAUCAUGUGAGGGUCCAGGCUACUCUUAACCGUGAGCACGACUGAUAUAUCAGUUUUACACUCUGCAGAGGUGGUACAACUUUACCCACAAGCCGCAUUUCCCCUCUAGCCUGGGUCGGCCAAACCCAUAAAUACUUCUGAGGUGAAUGGCUAGGGAUCCACUAUGAGGCUUUCACAGAAUACACUUAAUACAAAGCAACCCGCUAAGGUUUCCAUGUCGGAGUGGAGGCCCUCUGGGUGAGGUACCUUAGCCAAGAAUACAUCCCCAUGUUAACGUAAGCUGCCACCACUGCCGCUCCCCCUCUUGCCCAUAUUUCAAGUAAGGUUGCUAGGCACUAAGCAUAAAAGCUAAUUACCAAAGCCAGAGCCAUGAUAGCACUCGUGGUUGCACUAUUUUCCUGGGUGGUCACUCCAUGUUCCAAUUAUCACAAUAUGAUCUUGCUUAACCAUCGGAUUAACAACAACAAUGUAAACUUACCAUUUGGAACAUUAAUAUCAUCAAUAGGAGUACCAGCAUAAAGUUAAAGUCAUAGAAAUAGCAUAGCUACUUGAUUAGAUCAAAACCCAGGUUAACAAGGAAUAAGGUUGGAAAGGUUAUGUGUAUCUGAAUAGGUAACCCAUCAAAUUAUGCAUAUAUAUCCAACAAUAAACUUUAUUAAAUGUAUUGUUUGGGAUCAAACAGAGUUUGCAGAGGGAGAAGUCCACUUGCCUUGCUUAUUGAAAACUUAAGAUUCUUCCACGGAUCGGAAUAUAUCUUGAUUCUUAACUACUUGAUCAACCACUGAAUAUCACACAAACAAACAAGAAGAAACAAAACACCACUCAAUAACAUACAACAUUCACCAUACAUAAAGCUAAAAGAAAGCUUAACGAAAAGACCAUUUGCUAUUAAAAAACAUCGCAAGUAAUGGUUAUAACAAGAAGACACUCUCUUGAAAAAGGUUUGGUUCAUAUUUCAUAAAACAAGACUUAAGCUUGAAAAUAUCUUAAUUAUAAAUUUAUAACCAUUAGGCGAACCAAUUUAAUCUUUUUAGAAAAAGUUAUAUAGAGUAACUAAGGCUAUGGGCUAAAGGAUUAUAAAACACAUUUAUUCAACACUUAGUUAUGAAGCAUUAUAAAAUACACUAUUAAACAUUAUUAAACCUUUUUAGAAAAUAAAUGUUAUAUAUCUAAGGUUGAUGAGUUAUGAAACACAUUAUUAAACAUUACUUUUAUAAAAAGCUCAUAAAUAGCUUAAACAACUUUUUAUGUGAAAAGAUCCUAAUUAUAUUAUUAAACACCUAUUUACGAAGAGUUAGGUUAUAGGCCUUAAGUGGAUUUUCAUGAAAAAGAUAAUGAACAAAUAACUAUCUUUUAUUUUUAUUAGAAGGUACAUGGUCUAUAUUCUUUAUUAAGAAAGCUAUAUACAAAACAAUAUGUAAACUAACAUUUUAAUUAUAAAAAGAACAUGAACAUUAAUUUCUUUAUUUUAUUCUUUAGGAAAAACUAAAUGAUAUAUAUAAAUAAUAUGGAUUCAAUUUGACGAACGGAUUAAUCACGCUUAUAUUACUAGUUAUGGACAAAUUGAAAUGUAAGUCUAAUUAAUAAAUUGUGAGAAAAUAUAAAUAAUCUAUUGAUUAUAUUUAGUUUCAGUUUAGGAACAUAUGAUCUAAAUCAUUUGAAAGGAAAAUGUAUAAAUGUAACACCCCGGGAUCCACAAACACCCCAGAAUGCUACUAAACUACACUUCUAACAUUCGUAUAUAAAAUUUCGACAACAUCUCCUUUGAAAAUUGCAUAAACGGGGAAGCAACAAAGUAUAAAUAGAUAUCAUGAUAAGAAAACAUAAUCGACAUUAAUAAUCUGCUAGCAAUGGGAAGACAACCAUAACAACAUGAACUAAAUUAAUCAGUGCGCACAACUAGUUAGAAACAAACAUCCUUUGACAAGAAGCUUCUAAUUAAAUCAUGACUGCGCCUAACCAGUGUUAUUAUGAGAGUGAAGGUGGAUGUGCUGCUACUUCCCACUUCCCUGGAUGAGCAACAAGCACCUGUAUUGAGUAAUGCAAGAGUGAGAUGAAACAUCUCAGCACGCCAAUUGUUCUGACGAGAUAUUUAAACCACAAAUUUAAUUAAUCAACAUUUUAAAAGAAUCACAAUUAAGAUCAGAAAUACUUGUAGAUAUAGAACUCAGUAGUCCCAAUAUAACCAAUACCAUCUCAUUUCCUCGAAUAACCACACUAGGUUCUAUAACACUUCCCUGCAUCAACAAAACCUACAAAUAUCACUUCAAUGUAUGCAUAGGAGUGCAAAGUGUAGGUACUCUGUCUUCAUACCUCUGAGGGUAUAAAACCACAUCAUCUGCAAAUAUCACUUCAAUGAAUGCAUAUGAAUGCAAUGCAUAUGUCCUCUGCCUUCAUACCUCUAAGGGUAUGAAGCCGCAUCGUACCCCUCCUCGGGCAACGUACGAUGCUAAGUUGUACCGGUACGGUCGGACCAUAGGUCACGACCCAACUUCAUAUGCAAGUGAAUCAUGCAAUGUAUAUGGCAUGCUGCAUUUAUCAAUAUACUUGACUUCCUUCACAUACAAUACAACCUCAAAUAAUACUUCAUUUACCUUCAGAUACAAUACCAACCUCAAAUAAUAUUUCAUUCACCUUCAGAUACAAUACCAAUCUCAAAUAAUACUUCAUUUACCAUCAAGGGUGUGAAUUAAUCUCAUGAGUCAUACUCGAAUCAUAAUCAUCAUCAAUAUAUGAUUGAGCAUCAGUAUAAUGCAAGCAAGUAAAGCAUCACCAUAGAGUCCAAUUAUGAAAGAAUCCAAUACUUCUGAAUAUUAGAGUGUAGGCAAUAGAAAUAACAGGUUAGAACAGAAGCAACCACCGCUACAUUCACUUGCCUUCAUCGAAGAAGAAAAAUGUACUAGGCAUGAUCUGAAGUGUAGCCACCUGCUAGUGGGCAUAAAACUUAGUACAAAUAUUUCACAAACAUUUGCCAACGAUCAACAAAACACUCCUACACUUGAAACCAAGACCCAGUGGAAAGACUACCACCCUAAACCACAUGCCAUACAGCAGCAACACUGUUUGUUAAUUUUGUAUAUUUAAAAUUAAAACAGUGGUGAUAUCAAAAAAAUACUCUAGAAGUAUCUACCGAAAACACUCUACAACUUCGGUAUUCAAUGCAUAAUUAAAUUCUGCAAUCAAUAAGUUGUAAAACAUCUGACAAGAUAACUGACUGAAUCUGUUUUAGACAGCAGCCUAGUUAACUUCAAAAUUCGAUAUCUCCCAAACUACUAAACCAAAAAUUAUGAAAUUCUGCUGGCAGUAUUAACUUUUAUCCCUCUACAAAAGUCUCUAUAGUUGGAAGAGCCAAUUCGGCCAUUUACUAGAUGAAACCCACCAGUGAACAGACCCACUCAUUUUUGUGAGGCAAACAGGAACAACCACAGUAAAACAAACAUAACUGGAGUUUUAUAAAUCAUAUGAAUGCACUCUUUAACAAUCUGGAAAGCUUAUGAAAUUAUCUACAACUUCUUUUACCAACCCAUAGUUUAAUUCUGUUGAUAAAAUUGACUAACUCUUAAGAGAACAGAUUCUGCACAGAAUUAUGAGACUGAAAAACUGCUAUAGUCAAACUGCAAUAACUUUCUGUUCUGAUGUCCGAUUGAGGUGUUCUUCGCGACCACAGAAAGAUAUACAAAUUAUCUACGACUCAUAUAUAGACGUUUUAUUUUUUUGAGGCCACUAAGACCACGGAAAACUGGCAUAAACAGAAACUGUCGAAUCUGCCAUUCUGCAGAAAUUAAAUUCGAGAUCAAAACCUAACCCCACAUCUAAUCCAAACUCUAAUCCUUCAAUCCACAUGAUCCAUAACCUCCAAAAGCACAUAAUUAUAGGGAGGAACAAGGAUCCCAUCCUUACCUAGGGUUUCCCCAAGAAAAUCUGCAAGAGAUGGGGAUAGAACAUCUCCUUGAUCCUCUCUUCCUCUUCAAUCCAUCUUGCUCCUCCUCUUCUUGAUCCUUGCUGCGUGGGGGAGAUCUAGAGGGAGGAGGAAGCAGUGGAGGGCGGCUGCAAGGGGAAGGGGGAGGGGCGGCCAAGGGUGGGGAAAAAGGGGGGGGGGGGUUGGCGGCCAAGAAAAGGGGAAAAGGGAGGGUCGACCACUAGGGUUUUGUGGGAGAAAGAAACGACGCCUCCGAUGUCUCCUGACUUUGCAUCUAAUGGCCCACAACUCUUUCCCUCAUCCACGCACCGAAGAUCAACUUUUGGUCAAUAUUUUUUUGGGAUAUUACACUCUAUCCCCCUUAAAAAGAAUUCGUCCUCGAAUUCGACCACUCCAAGCAAAACACUCAAGGUACCCCAUAUAGCACCACCAUUCGAAACAUGGGUCCAUUAUUGUUCUUAAUUAACACAAGAACUUCUACAUUGGACUAAUUGUCUAAGGAAACUACACAACCUGACAUCAAGCAUGAACCAACAUGUAAUUAAGCUCAAACCAAGUCAUAGAUGCAAUCAACACUACGAUUUCACAACAUCGAAUUUGGAUGCAGCCAUACAUCAGCAUCAAUGUCUUAAAACGACACUCUUUUAUGAAGGGGUAAUAUGCACUAAGCACAACCUUUACCAACUUCAACAAUUCAUUUUAAGUCAAUGGUGAAACAUCCACACCAGAUGAAUGUAUAAGAAGACCAAACACCUCACCUCACAGCACCACAAAACAAGUAGUUCUAUUGAAACAAAACUCCUAAUCUUCCUAAACCUUGUUCUUGCCAUAAUGAAAAGAUAAUCAUGUAAUCUAACAUACUUUGGACCCCACCAAAAGGGAGAAAAUCAACAGAACUAAUGGAGCAAUAAAGCCGACAAGAAGCCAAUAAAAUCUUGCGCGGCACAGUUCAUCAAAGAAAUGCCAAAAACUCUACAUAGAGCACUGGCAGCCCAACAACAACACAAUAUUUGCUUAACCCAUGUCACUAUACUUCAUUCAGAAUCUCAACUAAGAAAAAUAUCCAACUAGUAAGGUUAACCUACACAUAAUAUAAGUCUUCAUCUAUUGUAGUUCAGAAACGUACAUUUCAUUCUAUCAUAUGAUGCACUCAAAGUACCAAACCUAAAGGGUCAAUACUAAUCCCGUAAUCCUUCACACAUUUGGCAAACAUCUCAAGCUGAUGUAAAAACCACAUCAUUUAGGAAUAGGUGACUAACCACACACAACCAACUCUAGGCUAGGCAAUGACUUCAUUCAAACCAAUAGAUAAGUGGUCCAACAAUGGCUCCACAAACAUGCAUCGGGGAGAGAACCAUCAGAUCCUCAACGUAUUAAUACAUAAUCAAUGGAUCAAGAAAAUCAAAGAUUUUAUUCUACAAUUAGCAUGACUAACAUGCAACCACUUUAAACCACAUCUAGGCUUUGUGGCUACUAAAACACACGAUAGAGGAGAGACAUGUAAGCCAUUCUGGCUAUGUAAAGACUUCCCCCAAAAUCCAUAUAAAAGAACCAAUAUUCAUUUCUUUCAGAACUGGUUUCUCGACAUAAACAAUCAUUCUUUGCAAAGAUAGUUGGAGCUAUCCACCAACCACUCAACAACUUAAAUUCAAAUUGAUGAUUACCUUGUACCCCAAAACACACAAUUCACACUCCUCUUAGAAACAUCCUCAAUCAAGCAUAUAUAACAAUAUUAUUGUAAUAAAACUCAACCAUGAAAAACAUGGUGAAAACAACAUAUGCAUACUUGUAUAUCACAAGCAUAGUAACAACUUCAAUCUCACAAAUGACCAGCGAUAUCAACCGCAUUAAUAAAACAAUAACAAUUUUUCAGAAAUAAAUUAUAUCAAGCAUUAAGCCAUAAACAACUUACCACAUCACCGUAAAGGAAUCGGGAGGGGUGAAAUUAUUGUCAUCUGCACUUCAAAGUCACUAAUAUAUAUCAAAGAUACUUGAACCCAUACCCUUCCUAUAUGUGCAAGUGUGUCAAAUUUAUCUUCAAAUUGCCAAGAAUCUAAAGCCUAAGCUUUGAUACCAACUGUAACACCCCGGGAUCCACAAACACCCCAGAAUGCUACUAAACUACACUUCUAACAUUCGUAUAUAAAAUUUCGACAACAUCUCCUUUGAAAAUUGCAUAAACGGGGAAGCAACAAAGUAUAAAUAGAUAUCAUGAUAAGAAAACAUAAUCGACAUUAAUAAUCUGCUAGCAAUGGGAAGACAACCAUAACAACAUGAACUAAAUUAACCAGUGCGCACAACUAGUUAGAAACAAACAUCCUUUGACAAGAAGCUUCUAAUUAAAUCAUGACUGCGCCUAACCAGCGUUAUUAUGAGAGUGAAGGUGGAUGUGCUGCUACUUCCCACUUCCCUGGAUGAGCAACAAGCACCUGUAUUGAGUAAUGCAAGAGUGAGAUGAAACAUCUCAGCAAGCCAAUCGUUCUGACGAGAUAUUUAAACCACAAAUUUAAUUAAUCAACAUUUUAAAAGAAUCACAAUUAAGAUCAGAAAUACUUGUAGAUAUAGAACUCAGUAGUCCCAAUAUAACCAAUACCAUCUCAUUUCCUCGAAUAACCACACUAGGUUCUAUAACACUUCCCUGCAUCAACAAAACCUACAAAUAUCACUUCAAUGUAUGCAUAGGAGUGCAAAGUGUAGGUACUCUGUCUUCAUACCUCUGAGGGUAUAAAACCACAUCAUCUGCAAAUAUCACUUCAAUGAAUGCAUAUGAAUGCAAUGCAUAUGUCCUCUGCCUUCAUACCUCUAAGGGUAUGAAGCCGCAUCAUACCCCUCCUUGGGCAACGUACGAUGCUAAGUUGUACCGGUACGGUCGGACCAUAGGUCACGACCCAACUUCAUAUGCAAGUGAAUCAUGCAAUGUAUAUGGCAUGCUGCAUUUAUCAAUAUACUUGACUUCCUUCACAUACAAUACAACCUCAAAUAAUACUUCAUUUACCUUCAGAUACAAUACCAACCUCAAAUAAUAUUUCAUUCACCUUCAGAUACAAUACCAACCUCAAAUAAUACUUCAUUUACCUUCAAGGGUGUGAAUUAAUCUCAUGAGUCAUACUCGAAUCAUAAUCAUCAUCAAUAUAUGAUUGAGCAUCAGUAUAAUGCAAGCAAGUAAAGCAUCACCAUAGAGUCCAAUUAUGAAAGAAUCCAAUACUUCUGAAUAUUAGAGUGUAGGCAAUAGAAAUAACAGGUCAGAACAGAAGAAACCACCGCUACAUUCACUUGCCUUCAUCGAAGAAGAAAAAUGUACUAGGCAUGAUCUGGAGUGUAGCCACCUGCUAGUGGGUAUAAAACUUAGUACAAAUAUUUCACAAACAUUUGCCAACGAUCAACAAAACACUCCUACACUUGAAACCAAGACCCAGUGGAAAGACUACCACCCUAAACCACAUGCCAUACAGCAGCAACACUGUUUGUUAAUUUUGUAUCUUUAAAAUUAAAACAGUGGUGAUAUCAAAAAAAUAAUCUAGAAGUAUCUACCGAAAACACUCUACAACUUCGGUAUUCAAUGCAUAAUUAAAUUCUGCCAUCAAUAAGUUGUAAAACAUCUGACAAGAUAACUGACUGAAUCUGUUUUAGACAGCAGCCUAGUUAACUUCAAAAUUCGAUAUCUCCCAAACCACUAAACCAAAAAUUAUGAAAUUCUGCUGACAGUAUUAACUUUUAUCCCUCUACAAAAGUCUCUAUAGUUGGAAUAGCCAAUUCGGCCAUUUACUAGAUGAAACCCACCAGUGAACAGACCCACUCAUUUUUGUGAGGCAAACAGGAACAACCACAGUAAAACAAACAUAACUGGAGUUUUAUAAAUCAUAUGAAUGCACUCUUUAACAAUCUGGAAAGCUUAUGAAAUUAUCUACAACUUCUUUUACCAACCCAUAGUUUAAUUCUGUUGAUAAAAUUGACUAACUUUUAAGAGAACAGAUUCUGCACAGAAUUAUGAGACUGAAAAGCUGCUAUAGUCAAACUGCAAUAACUUUCUGUUCUGAUGUCCGAUUGAGGUGUUCUUCGCGGCCACAGAAAGAUAUACAAAUUAUCUACGACUCAUAUAUAGACUUUUUAUUUUUUUGAGGCCACUAAGACCACGAAAAACUGGCAUAAACAGAAACUGUCGAAUCUGCCAUUCUGCAGAAAUUAAAUUCGAGAUCAAAACCUAACCCCACAUCUAAUCCAAACUCUAAUCCUUCAAUCCACAUGAUCCAUAACCUCCAAAAGCACAUAAUUAUAGGGAGGAACAAGGAUCCCAUCCUUACCUAGGGUUCCCCAAGAAAAUCUGCAAGAGAUGGGGAUAGAACAUCUCCUUGAUCCUCUCUUCCUCUUCAAUCCAUCUUGCUCCUCCUCUUCUUGAUCCUUGCUGCGUGGGGGAGAUCUAGAGGGAGGAGGAAGCAGUGGAGGGCGGCUGCAAGGGGAAGGGGGAGGGGCGGCCAAGAGUGGGGAAAAGGGGGG